RNAcentral lists this ribosomal RNA (253 nucleotides) under uncultured bacterium. RNAcentral's name for it is "partial 16S ribosomal RNA". It matches the Rfam family "Bacterial small subunit ribosomal RNA", at positions 524 to 776 of the family's 1533-position model. The record is from RNAcentral.
UACGAAGGGGGCUAGCGUUGUUCGGAUUUACUGGGCGUAAAGCGCACGUAGGCGGAUCGAUCAGUCAGGGGUGAAAUCCCAGGGCUCAACCCUGGAACUGCCUUUGAUACUGUCGAUCUGGAGUAUGGAAGAGGUGAGUGGAAUUCCGAGUGUAGAGGUGAAAUUCGUAGAUAUUCGGAGGAACACCAGUGGCGAAGGCGGCUCACUGGUCCAUUACUGACGCUGAGGAGCGAAAGCCAGGGGAGCAAACGGG